RNAcentral lists this long non-coding RNA (1546 nucleotides) under Equus asinus (donkey). RNAcentral's name for it is "lncRNA (ENSEASG00005026980.1)". Lineage: Eukaryota; Metazoa; Chordata; Mammalia; Perissodactyla; Equidae. The record is from RNAcentral.
GUAAACUGUAAAGUGCCAUGCACAUGCUAGUUAGUGGCUUUAUUCUCCAGGGACCCUGGCACCAUGGUGGCAGAGGAAGAAACUCGGAGAACCGGGAAGAAAUACCAUCUGGCUUUAAACACCAAAAAGCCUCCACUCACACCGGACUUAUUUCUGUAAACAGCAGAAUUAACAUCAUCCUAUAGCAGCGACGUCAGCCCGGAGCGACCUGGAGACUGUCUUUGCCCUGAUUUCCCUGGUCAGGGCUGCACAAAGCACCCCAGGAGCUCCUCAUCCAUCAGCUGUCACUCCCAGAGAAACGUGGACAAGUCACUUAGUAAAUCUGAGUUUAGAUGGAAAGAAAACAGGGCUUGAGACACCCUCUCAGUCCCACCCAGGCUUUGCAAGCACGGAGGGAAGGCUGGAGGUGGUGUCCAGGGACAGCGGGGACAUGCCUAGAAGCCCAGUCAGAGCUGACGCUGGAAGGGUGUUUAGAGAGCAUCUUCUUGUCUUCUUUCCUCCAAAUUAUGGGUGACAAAACAGGCCCAGAAUGGGAUGGUGCCUGCCCAAGGUCACACAGCAAAUUGGUGACAAAAACUGAAAUUAACAUCUAAGUCUCUCGACUCUAAUGCCGCUAUUUUCCACUUCACCAGUCACGUCUUCCUUUGAUAUUUGCUCCAGCAUCGUAGUGUUGCUUCCCAGGAAACACAGACUGGGGAUUUCUCUGCUUCCCCAUGGGCUCUGCAGACGAGAAGCAGAAUGUUUCUUGAGUCCUAUACCUCGCCGGCAUUCAACGCAGGAGGCCAUCGUUCCUUUGUUGUUUUCUUGGGAGAAACAAGAUUUCUGAAAACCACAGGAGCCCAAAUGAAUCAAAGUGAAAUUUUAAAAACAAGAGGGCUAUGCCAUUGAGUUUUCAAAAUCUAGAGGAAUACCCUGUUCCGUUGCAGCCCCCAGAUCUGGCAGAGGUCUCGUGUGGAUGAGGACUUCUGUCACGGGGGCUGCUAGGAAUCGGUGGAGCAGAGAGCACCCUGGGCAUUUGGGCCUAGGGUGGCUGCUGCUGUGCUGUGCAGCCUGGCUUGCCCUCUCUGAGCCUAUUUUCCCAUGUGCAACAUAAGGCAGGGUCGAUGUGACCUCCCGGCUCUGACGUUCUGUGACUUGAUAACCAUUUUCUAAGGAAGGAAAGGGGAUCCAUUGCUCCUAGGCCGCACGGAUGCCUUGUUCAUCAGCUGACACGAGCCUGAGCUGAGAGGCGUCGGCACUGGUGGGUCCUGGGAGUUUCAUGUGAAUGGGGCUUGGAGGGAAACCCUCUCUAUCCACUCUCAAGGGAAGGGGGCAUCUGAGACCACUGUCCCCAGUAACUGCCCCAAGACCCUUAGUCUAAGUUGGCAGGUGACGUCCAAGUGUGGCAAUGACGGAGCACAUGCCCAUGGUUGUGUUUAUACCAACUCACCCAGCACACCCGCGGGCACCCAGGCUCUGCCCUCCAGGUCCCCGAUAACACGUGCACCCACUGGGCUAUGGCAGCUUCUCUCCCCUGAGGGGGUGGGGGACGCUGGGGAGCUGGAAG